This 457-nucleotide ribosomal RNA is filed under the name uncultured Anaerolineaceae bacterium. RNAcentral describes it as "bacterial SSU rRNA". It matches the Rfam family "Bacterial small subunit ribosomal RNA", at positions 912 to 1382 of the family's 1533-position model. The record is from RNAcentral. Lineage: Bacteria; Bacillati; Chloroflexota; Anaerolineae; Anaerolineales; Anaerolineaceae.
GACGGGUCCCCGCACAAGCAGCGGAGCGUGUGGUUUAAUUCGUUGCUACACGAAGAACCUUACCUGGGUUUGACAUAGCAGUGGUAGGGAAGCGAAAGCAGACCGACCUUCGGGGAGCUGUUACAGGUGUUGCAUGGCUGUCGUCAGCUCGUGUCGUGAGAUGUUCGGUUAAGUCCGCUAACGAGCGCAACCCGCGUUGUGUGUUACAAGUGUCACACAAUACCGCCGGUAUUAAGUCGGAGGAAGGUGCGGAUGACGUCAAGUCAGCAUGACCUUUAUAUCCAGGGCUACACACACGCUACAAUGGUCAGCACAAUAGGUUGCCAAGUCGUGAGACGGAGCCAAUCCUCCAAAGCUGGCCUCAGUUCAGAUUGUAGGCUGCAACCCGCCUGCAUGAAGUUGGAGUUGCUAGUAACCGCAGGUCAGCUAUACUGCGGUGAAUACGUUCCCGGGGAUU